CGCACGGGUGAGUAACACGUAUCCAACCUGCCGUCUACUCUUGGACAGCCUUCUGAAAGGAAGAUUAAUACAAGAUGGCAUCAUGAGUCCGCAUGUUCACAUGAUUAAAGGUAUUCCGGUAGACGAUGGGGAUGCGUUCCAUUAGAUAGUAGGCGGGGUAACGGCCCACCUAGUCUUCGAUGGAUAGGGGUUCUGAGAGGAAGGUCUCCCACAUUGGAACUGAGACACGGUCCAAACUCCUACGGGAGGCAGCAUG
Molecule: ribosomal RNA, 256 nt
Filed under: uncultured bacterium
Lineage: Bacteria
Description: partial 16S ribosomal RNA
Rfam family: Bacterial small subunit ribosomal RNA
Source: RNAcentral